This 520-nucleotide ribosomal RNA is filed under the name uncultured Glomus. Its description in RNAcentral is "SSU rRNA". It matches the Rfam family "Eukaryotic small subunit ribosomal RNA", at positions 569 to 1092 of the family's 1831-position model. Lineage: Eukaryota; Fungi; Glomeromycota; Glomeromycetes; Glomerales; Glomeraceae. The record is from RNAcentral.
AGCAGCCGCGGUAAUUCCAGCUCCAAUAGCGUAUAUUAAAGUUGUUGCAGUUAAAAAGCUCGUAGUUGAAUUUCGGGAUCAAGUCGUCGGUCGUGCCUCGGUACGCACUGGUGACAUUGGUUUCUCCCUUCUGAAGAACCUUGAUGUCAUUAAUUUGGUGUCUUGGGGAAUCAGGACUGUUACUUUGAAAAAAUUAGAGUGUUUAAAGCAAGCUCACGCUUGAAUACAUUAGCAUGGAAUAAUGAAAUAGGACGUUUGAUUCUAUUUUGUUGGUUUCUAGGAUCGACGUAAUGAUUAAUAGGGAUAGUUGGGGGCAUUAGUAUUCAAUUGUCAGAGGUGAAAUUCUUGGAUUUAUUGAAGACUAACUACUGCGAAAGCAUUUGUCAAGGAUGUUUUCAUUAAUCAAGAACGAAAGUUAGGGGAUCGAAGACGAUCAGAUACCGUCGUAGUCUUAACCAUAAACUAUGCCGACUAGGGAUCGGAUGAUGUUAAUUUUUAAUGACUCAUUCGGCGCCUUAAC